GGGGGGAGGCCGGAUCCUGGGCUGUGUCCCGGCGCCCUGUGCUCCGGAGCCUGCGCUGGUGGAUUCGCGCUCCCGGGCCGCCGCCUCGCAGCCCCCU
Molecule: non-coding RNA, 97 nt
Organism: Canis lupus familiaris (dog)
Lineage: Eukaryota; Metazoa; Chordata; Mammalia; Carnivora; Canidae
Source: Rfam